This 812-nucleotide ribosomal RNA is filed under the name uncultured Thiomicrospira sp. RNAcentral's name for it is "bacterial SSU rRNA". It matches the Rfam family "Bacterial small subunit ribosomal RNA", at positions 8 to 795 of the family's 1533-position model. Lineage: Bacteria; Pseudomonadati; Pseudomonadota; Gammaproteobacteria; Thiotrichales; Piscirickettsiaceae. The record is from RNAcentral.
AGAGUUUGAUUAUGGCUCAGAAUGAACGCUGGCGGCAGGCCUAACACAUGCAAGUCGAACGGAAACGACAAGAACAAACUCUUCGGAGGGCGAUCUUGGGCGUCGAGUGGCGGACGGGUGAGUAACGCGUGGGAAUCUACCCUUUAGUUGGGGACAACAUAUGGAAACGCAUGCUAAUACCGAAUAUGCUCUACGGAGUAAAGGUGGCCUCUACUUGUAAGCUAUCGCUAAAGGAUGAGCCCGCGUUAGAUUAGCUAGUUGGUGGGGUAAAGGCCUACCAAGGCGACGAUCUAUAGCUGGUUUGAGAGGAUGAUCAGCCACACUGGGACUGAGACACGGCCCAGACUCCUACGGGAGGCAGCAGUGGGGAAUAUUGCACGAUGAGGGAAACCUUGAUGCAGCCAUGCCGCGUGUGUGAAGAAGGCCCGAGGGUUGUAAAGCACUUUCAAUUGUGAGGAAAGGUUAGUCGCUAAUAUCGGCUAGCUGUGACGUUAACUUUAGAAGAAGCACCGGCUAACUCUGUGCCAGCAGCCGCGGUAAUACAGAGGGUGCAAGCGUUAUUCGGAAUUACUGGGCGUAAAGCGCGCGUAGGCGGACUGUUAAGUCGGUUGUGAAAGCCCUGGGCUCAACCUAGGAAUUGCAUCCGAUACUGGCAAUCUAGAGUUUAGGAGAGGGAAGUGGAAUUCCUGGUGUAGCAGUGAAAUGCGUAGAUAUCAGGAGGAACAUCAGUGGCGAAGGCGACUUCCUGGCUUAAAACUGACGCUGAGGUGCGAAAGCGUGGGUAGCGAACGGGAUUAGAUACCCUGGUAGUC